Molecule: unclassified non-coding RNA, 391 nt
Filed under: soil metagenome
Description: partial contains 5.8S ribosomal RNA, internal transcribed spacer 2, and large subunit ribosomal RNA
Rfam family: 5.8S ribosomal RNA (bases 1-122)
Source: RNAcentral
GAUGAAGAACGCAGCGAAAUGCGAUACUUGGUGUGAAUUGCAGAAUCCCGUGAACCAUCGAGUCUUUGAACGCAAGUUGCGCCCGAAGCCAUUAGGCCGAGGGCACGCCUGCCUUGGUGUCACACGUCGUUGCCCCCCCAUCUACUCCUUCGGGAUUGCGGGGGGCGGAUGAUGGCCUCCCGUGCGCCUCGUCGCGCGGUUGGCAUAAAUGCCAAGUCCUCGGCGACGCACGCCACGACAAUCGGUGGUUGCGAAACCUCGGUUGCCCGUCGUGUGCGGUCGUCGCGCAUCGAGGGCUCGAAAAAAUUGCCGGGCUCCGGCUCGGCUUUCAACGCGACCCCAGGUCAGGCGGGGUUACCCGCUGAAUUUAAGCAUAUCAAUAAGCGGAGGA